RNAcentral lists this ribosomal RNA (253 nucleotides) under uncultured bacterium. RNAcentral describes it as "partial 16S ribosomal RNA". It matches the Rfam family "Bacterial small subunit ribosomal RNA", at positions 524 to 776 of the family's 1533-position model. The record is from RNAcentral.
UACGAAGGGGGCUAGCGUUGUUCGGAAUCACUGGGCGUAAAGGGCGCGUAGGCGGCUGUUCAAGUCGGGGGUGAAAUCCCGUGGCUCAACCACGGAAUGGCCUUCGAUACAGGACGGCUGGAGACCGGAAGAGGUGAGUGGAACUGCGAGUGUAGAGGUGAAAUUCGUAGAUAUUCGCAAGAACACCAGUGGCGAAGGCGGCUCACUGGUCCGGUUCUGACGCUGAGGCGCGAAAGCGUGGGGAGCGAACAGG